Molecule: long non-coding RNA, 261 nt
Filed under: Solanum tuberosum (potato)
Lineage: Eukaryota; Viridiplantae; Streptophyta; Magnoliopsida; Solanales; Solanaceae
Description: long non-coding RNA (STUB_LNC001524)
Source: RNAcentral
GGACGUCAGCAGUCUCGAUGCACGGAAGAAGUUAGAGAAAGGAUUAAGAAGAAUGAUGUGGUUAAUGAUUUCAUCUGUGGUUUAUAUAAAUUUCUGCAUAAAUGAGAUUAAAGACAUUGAAUUUCAUGUUUAUUGGGUUUUCUCUUAUUCUCCGAUGAUAUUUGACCAUUUUCAGACUUAAAAAAUGCAUAUCAAUGACAUGUUUUGUUAUUUCUUCAAAACAGUAUUAUUGUUUCCCUUAACUGCAUGCAAUUGUAGGAU